Molecule: long non-coding RNA, 215 nt
Filed under: Lathyrus oleraceus (garden pea)
Lineage: Eukaryota; Viridiplantae; Streptophyta; Magnoliopsida; Fabales; Fabaceae
Description: Pisum sativum (pea) long non-coding RNA (PSAT_LNC024759)
Source: RNAcentral
AAGUUGCAGUAAACUAAGAAACACUUCUUUGCUUUCACACAUAAAAACUUCACUUCACCAACAAAGAACCAUACACACACAUCAUGCUCUUUUCUCUCUAACAUAAACAACUUCAUACACACACAAAAAAAACACCACAACACCGUCGGGAAGCCACUGCUCCAACCUCCCAUACUCUCCAAAACCACUGUAUUUUCUUCCGACCGUGAAAAAUA